Molecule: ribosomal RNA, 459 nt
Filed under: uncultured bacterium
Lineage: Bacteria
Description: partial 16S ribosomal RNA
Rfam family: Bacterial small subunit ribosomal RNA
Source: RNAcentral
CCUACGGGAGGCAGCAGUGAGGAAUAUUGGUCAAUGGGCGCGAGCCUGAACCAGCCAAGUAGCGUGAAGGAUGACUGCCCUACGGGUUGUAAACUUCUUUUAUAAAGGAAUAAAGUGAGGCACGUGGGCCUUUUUGUCUGUACUUUAUGAAUAAGGAUCGGCUAACUCCGUGCCAGCAGCCGCGGUAAUACGGAGGAUCCGAGCGGUAUCCGGAUUUAUUGGGUUUAAAGGGAGCGUAGAUGGGUUGUUAAGUCAGUUGUGAAAGUUUGCGGCUCAAACGUAAAAUUGCAAUUGAUACUGGCAGUCUUGAGUACAGUUGAGGUAGGCGGAAUUCGUGGUGUAGCGGUGAAAUGCUUAGAUAUCACGAAGAACUCCGAUUGCGAAGGCAGCUUACUAAACUGCCACUGACAUUGAUGCACGAAAGCGUGGGGAGCAAACAGGAUUAGAUACACCGUAGUC